This 90-nucleotide transfer RNA is filed under the name Stegodyphus mimosarum. RNAcentral describes it as "tRNA-Met for anticodon CAU". It matches the Rfam family "tRNA". From Rfam's summary of the family: Transfer RNA (tRNA) molecules are approximately 80 nucleotides in length. Their secondary structure includes four short double-helical elements and three loops (D, anti-codon, and T loops). Lineage: Eukaryota; Metazoa; Arthropoda; Arachnida; Araneae; Eresidae. The record is from Rfam by way of RNAcentral.
GCCUCGGUAGCGCAGUAGGCAGCGCGUCAGUCUCAUAAUCUCAAUAAUAGAGAAAUCUGAAGGUCGUGAGUUCGAUCCUCACCCGGGGCA